GUAGCUUGCUACUUUGCUGACGAGCGGCGGACGGGUGAGUAAUGCUUGGGAACAUGCCUUGAGGUGGGGGACAACAGUUGGAAACGACUGCUAAUACCGCAUAACGUCUACGGACCAAAGGGGGCUUCGGCUCUCGCCUUUAGAUUGGCCCAAGUGGGAUUAGCUAGUUGGUGAGGUAAUGGCUCACCAAGGCGACGAUCCCUAGCUGGUUUGAGAGGAUGAUCAGCCACACUGGGACUGAGACACGGCCCAGACUCCUACGGGAGGCAGCAGUGGGGAAUAUUGCACAAUGGGCGCAAGCCUGAUGCAGCCAUGCCGCGUGUGUGAAGAAGGCCUUCGGGUUGUAAAGCACUUUCAGUCAGGAGGAAAGCGUGGUGGUUAAUACCCAUCAUGUGUGACGUUACUGACAGAAGAAGCACCGGCUAACUCCGUGCCAGCAGCCGCGGUAAUACGGAGGGUGCGAGCGUUAAUCGGAAUUACUGGGCGUAAAGCGUACGCAGGCGGUUUGUUAAGCGAGAUGUGAAAGCCCCGGGCUCAACCUGGGAACUGC
This 550-nucleotide ribosomal RNA is filed under the name uncultured Pseudoalteromonas sp. RNAcentral's name for it is "bacterial SSU rRNA". It matches the Rfam family "Bacterial small subunit ribosomal RNA", at positions 75 to 624 of the family's 1533-position model. Lineage: Bacteria; Pseudomonadati; Pseudomonadota; Gammaproteobacteria; Alteromonadales; Pseudoalteromonadaceae. The record is from RNAcentral.